UGGGUUUGAACUAAGAAAUAUAGCCUUAGCUACAAAGUGACAGUUUUUACCAACUUUGAUUCUUCAUAUCAGGUGGACGGCAAGUCAUGAGUUCUUGCUUUCUGUAGAUAGUGUUUCUGAAGAGAUGACAGUGUGCUUCGAAUGACAAUACAAUGAGUAGCAGCUUCGUUUCUGGAGGACGUGGACAGUGAGGUGGACGGAGACAUAGACAGACGGUGAGGUGGACGGUGAGGUGGACGGAGACAUAGACAGACGGUGAAGUGGAUGGUGAGGUGGACGGAGGCAUAGACAGACGGUGAAGUGGAUGGUGAGGUGGACAGUGAGGUAGACGGAGACAUAGACAGACGGUGAGGUGGACAGUGAGGUGAACGGAGACAUAGACAGACGGUGAGGUGGACGGAGACAUAGACAGACGGUGAAGUGGACGGUGAGGUGGACGGAGACAUAGACAGACGGUGAAGUGGAUGGUGAGGUGAACGGAGACAUAGACAGACGGUGAAGUGGAUGGUGAGGUGGACGGAGAUAUAGACAGACGGUGAAGUGGAUGGUGAGUUGGACAGUGAGGUGGACGGAGACAUAGACAGACGGUGAAGUGGACGGUGAGGUGGACGGAGACAUAGACAGACGGUGAAAUGGACGGUGAGGUGGACAGUGAGGUGGACGGAGACAUAGACAGACGGUGAGGUGGACGGAGACAUAGACAGACGGUGAAGUGGAUGGUGAGGUGGACGGAGACAUAGACAGACGGUGAAGUGGAUGGUGAGGUGGACGGAGACAUAGACAGACGGUGAAGUGGAUGGUGAGGUGGACAGUGAGGUGGACAGUGAGGUGGACGGAGACGUAGACAGACGGUGAGGUGGACGGAGACAUAGACAGACGGUGAAGUGGAUGGUGAGUUGGACAGUGAGGUGGACGGAGACAUAGACAGACGGUGAAGUGGACGGUGAGGUGGACGGAGACAUAGACAGACGGUGAAGUGGACGGAGUGGUGAACUGAGACACAGACAGACGGUGAAGUGGAUGUUGAGGUGGACGGAGAGGUGGACGGUGAAGUGGAUGGUGAAGUGGACGAAGACAUAGACAGACGGUGAAGUGGACGGUGAGGUGGACUGAGACAUAGACAUGCGGUGAAGUGGACGGACAGGUGGAGCGUCAAUCCGAGGAGACGUUGACUUGCAGUGAGCUGUUUGCAUUAAAACUUAAUUUGUGUGAGUAUCAAGCUCUGAACGAACAUGAAGCAUCCAAAUCGUGUCCGGUAGUUCUAGAAAUUCUAGAUGUCAUUUUUCACAAAGAUUCGCCAGUGCAUAAAAAAGAGAAUUUUUCUUGGACUUGAUAUGAAGCAUGGUUUCGUUUUUAGGAUAGGAGAGUAUCUUUUGAGUUUUGAGUCGAGGUUAAACAUUAUACAGUGAAGC
This is a long non-coding RNA of Haliotis rubra (blacklip abalone), 1412 nucleotides long. RefSeq lists it as uncharacterized. NCBI's taxonomy places the organism in Eukaryota, Metazoa, Mollusca, Gastropoda, Lepetellida, Haliotidae. The transcript is spliced from 13 exons. The record is from RefSeq and is a predicted model, not a curated record.